AGUGAACGCUGGCGGUAGGCCUAACACAUGCAAGUCGAACGGCAGCACAGUAAGAGCUUGCUCUUACGGGUGGCGAGUGGCGGACGGGUGAGGAAUACAUCGGAAUCUACUUUUUCGUGGGGGAUAACGUAGGGAAACUUACGCUAAUACCGCAUACGACCUACGGGUGAAAGCAGGGGAUCUUCGGACCUUGCGCGAUUGAAUGAGCCGAUGUCGGAUUAGCUAGUUGGCGGGGUAAAGGCCCACCAAGGCGACGAUCCGUAGCUGACCUGAGAGGAUGAUCGGCCACACUGGAACUGAGACACGGUCCAGACUCCUACGGGAGGCAGCAGUGGGGAAUAUUGAGCAAUGGGCGAAAGCCUGACCCAGCAACGCCGCGUGGGUGAAGAAGGCCUUCGGAUCGUAAAGCUCUGUUAUUAGGAAAGAAAACAAGCGGAUGUAUCCCCGCCUGUCUUGACGGUACCUAAAAAGAAAGCCCCGGCUAACUUCGUG
RNAcentral lists this ribosomal RNA (492 nucleotides) under uncultured bacterium. RNAcentral describes it as "partial 16S ribosomal RNA". It matches the Rfam family "Bacterial small subunit ribosomal RNA", at positions 29 to 507 of the family's 1533-position model. The record is from RNAcentral.